GCCCAGAUGGCGGAAUUGGUAGACGCGCCGUCUUCAGGUGGCGGUGGGGGCAACCCCGUGGAGGUUCGAGUCCUCUUCUGGGCACCA
Molecule: transfer RNA, 87 nt
Filed under: Erythrobacter sp.
Lineage: Bacteria; Pseudomonadati; Pseudomonadota; Alphaproteobacteria; Sphingomonadales; Erythrobacteraceae
Also listed under: 22 other names
Description: tRNA-Leu
Rfam family: tRNA
About the family: Transfer RNA (tRNA) molecules are approximately 80 nucleotides in length. Their secondary structure includes four short double-helical elements and three loops (D, anti-codon, and T loops). Further hydrogen bonds mediate the characteristic L-shaped molecular structure. tRNAs have two regions of fundamental functional importance: the anti-codon, which is responsible for specific mRNA codon recognition, and the 3' end, to which the tRNAs corresponding amino acid is attached (by aminoacyl-tRNA synthetases). tRNAs cope with the degeneracy of the genetic code in two manners: having more than one tRNA (with a specific anti-codon) for a particular amino acid; and 'wobble' base-pairing, i.e. permitting non-standard base-pairing at the 3rd anti-codon position.
Source: RNAcentral